AAAACGGUCCUUCUCAGGACCAACAAAUAAAUGGACAAAUAACG
This is a non-coding RNA of Acyrthosiphon pisum (pea aphid), 44 nucleotides long. Lineage: Eukaryota; Metazoa; Arthropoda; Insecta; Hemiptera; Aphididae. The record is from Rfam.